GUAAACGUCCACAUUAUCCUAUUUAUUCUUAAUGGCCUUCUGGUUCUUGAGGUUUCUUGCAUUUUAUCUCAGAGGCUAUGCAGAACCAUGAGAAGGAAUUCAGCCAUCUCUGCUAAAUUUCUUCUUUGCAGAGUGACUAGGACCCAGAGAAAAGAGAGAAAAUAGUGUAGACACCCUAAGCACAGAGCUCAACGAAAUAUGAUGGCUUUGGCCAUAAAUGCCGCUUUAUGGCUGUCUGUAAAGCUGCCCAUCAAGAAGCUUCCGACAGAUGACCCGCAGUGAUGAGAGGAUGAAGGGAGCGGCACUGCAGAACAUUCCACCUGACGGGGACACAGAUCAUGGGAAGGGCAUUCUCAUCAAGCACAGGGUAUCUUUCAGUUCUUUCUUCCUCCUUCGUAUCCUCUGGCCCAGCCCCUCUACUUGUGUCCCUGCCUCUCAGUUUCCAGCUGCCAUUCAUUCAUUCAUUCAUUUUUUCAUUGAAUUAUAUUUUAAUUAACUCAUAUUCAUUCAAACAUUAUUCAUGACUUUUUAAAUUACUCAGAUAGCAGAUAUUUAUCGUACUAACAACUGCAGAUUAGAUUUAUUGGACUCUUUCUAGAUGGUAGGUUCCUUGAUAAGUUGUUAACACUAACAACAGCAUCAACAUUUAUUGAGCAUUUAUUCUGUGUCAAGCACCUUGGUAAUUGUUGUACAUGAACUAUUUCAUUUUAUCUUCACAAAAGUUGUCUGGGAUAAGAUGCUAUUAUUAACAGGAUUUUUACAGGUUGGGAGAAGUAUCUUAGAGAGUUUAGGCAAAUUGUCGAAAGUCACACAGCUAGUAAAUUAGAGAGUCAGGUUUCAAAAUCAUGUCUAUCUAACUUAAAACAAGUACUCAACUUUUACUUGGGACAGUCUCAACAGAUCUAAAAUUCCAGUGUUUAUCAUUCUUGCUCAGUAAUGAAUUCAUAGGGAAAGUGAUACUUGAUCUGUGUUGUAAAGUGUGGACAAGGAGACCACUAAGAAAAUGAUUUAAGAAGGUAUUCAUUCCAAUUGAAAACAACAUACUAAAGAAAACAGUGAAGCAGAAACCCACAGCAUGGCCCCAUUUUCCCAGCAUCACUCAUUGAAAAGGUAUUAAUAUGUCAUCAUCAAUUUGACAAAAGCAAAUGGUGAGUUAAAAAUCUUUCCAUUGAAAAUGACAGGGAAUCCAACUCAAACUGGCUUGAAGAAUAACGGGAUGUAUAAACUUGCGUCAGUGAAAAGGCCAGAGGCAGGACCAGCUUCAGGUACAGUUUGAUCUAGAAUCAUCAAGGACCAGUUUUGUUCCUUUCCAUAUUUCCUCUUUGCAUUCCAAAGCAUCACUUGCUUCUUCAGGCCUCAAAUGGCUUCCCAUUGGCAGUUCCGUGGUCUUCUGACCUAGUAGUAAAGAAGCUGUUCAGGUCUUUAUGUCUUCACACCAUACGGAUCACAGAAGGAGUGGCUUUCAAGGAGGGGAGAGAACUUUCUUUUUCCCAGAAGCCCUAGAAGACUUCUCCACAGGUUUCAGUGGUUCUGACUGGGUUUCUGCCAUCAUGGAUCAAAUAAUGGCGGCCAGAGAGAUGCGAUGGGAUAGAAUUAUUGGCUUUAGCCAGUCAGGGUCUGGGCCAAGGAUCAAUACCACAAAAAUGCAUGACUGAUCAUGGGAAAGAAGUAACAGCCCCAAAGCCAACUCCAGCUGGUGUUAUCU
Molecule: long non-coding RNA, 1705 nt
Organism: Equus asinus (donkey)
Lineage: Eukaryota; Metazoa; Chordata; Mammalia; Perissodactyla; Equidae
Source: Ensembl